RNAcentral lists this transfer RNA (72 nucleotides) under Candidatus Brocadiales bacterium. RNAcentral describes it as "tRNA-Lys". It matches the Rfam family "tRNA". From Rfam's summary of the family: Transfer RNA (tRNA) molecules are approximately 80 nucleotides in length. RNAcentral also lists the same sequence under 1 other name. Lineage: Bacteria; Pseudomonadati; Planctomycetota; Candidatus Brocadiia; Candidatus Brocadiales. The record is from RNAcentral.
GGGCCGAUAACUCAGCGGCAGAGCACCCUACUCUUUCUAGGGAGACGGAGCGUUCGAAUCCUCCUCGGCCCA